Molecule: ribosomal RNA, 632 nt
Filed under: uncultured Borreliella sp.
Lineage: Bacteria; Pseudomonadati; Spirochaetota; Spirochaetia; Spirochaetales; Borreliaceae
Description: bacterial SSU rRNA
Rfam family: Bacterial small subunit ribosomal RNA
Source: RNAcentral
GCAUGCAAGUCAAACGGGAUGUAGCAAUACAUUCAGUGGCGAACGGGUGAGUAACGCGUGGAUGAUCUACCUAUGAGAUGGGGAUAACUAUUAGAAAUAGUAGCUAAUACCGAAUAAGGUCAAUUAAUUUGUUAAUUGAUGAAAGGAAGCCUUUAAAGCUUCGCUUGUAGAUGAGUCUGCGUCUUAUUAGCUAGUUGGUGGGGUAAAUGCCUACCAAGGCGAUGAUAAGUAACCGGCCUGAGAGGGUGAACGGUCACACUGGAACUGAGAUACGGUCCAGACUCCUACGGGAGGCAGCAGCUAAGAAUCUUCCGCAAUGGGCGAAAGCUUGACGGAGCGACACUGCGUGAAUGAAGAAGGUCGAAAGAUUGUAAAAUUCUUUUAUAAAUGAGGAAUAAGCUUUGUAGGAAAUGACAAAGUGAUGACGUUAAUUUAUGAAUAAGCCCCGGCUAAUUACGUGCCAGCAGCCGCGGUAAUACGUAAGGGGCGAGCGUUGUUCGGGAUUAUUGGGCGUAAAGGGUGAGUAGGCGGAUAUAUAAGUCUAUGCAUAAAAUACCACAGCUCAACUGUGGACCUAUGUUGGAAACUAUAUGUCUAGAGUCUGAUAGAGGAAGUUAGAAUUUCUGGUGUAA